UACGGAGGGGGCUAGCGUUGUCCGAAGUUACUGGGCGUAAAGCGCGCGUAGGCGGGUUGGUAAGUCCGCUGUGAAAGCCCGGAGCUCAACUCCGGAGGGUCGGUGGAUACUGCCAGUCUUGAAGGUGCUAGGGGGAGAUGGAAUUACCGGUGUAGCGGUGAAAUGCGUAGAUAUCGGUAGGAACACCAGUGGCGAAGGCGACUCUUUGGUCUGUAACUGACGCUGAGGCGCGAAAGCGUGGGGAGCAAACAGG
This 253-nucleotide ribosomal RNA is filed under the name uncultured bacterium. RNAcentral's name for it is "partial 16S ribosomal RNA". It matches the Rfam family "Bacterial small subunit ribosomal RNA", at positions 524 to 776 of the family's 1533-position model. The record is from RNAcentral.